RNAcentral lists this ribosomal RNA (486 nucleotides) under uncultured bacterium. RNAcentral's name for it is "partial 16S ribosomal RNA". It matches the Rfam family "Bacterial small subunit ribosomal RNA", at positions 30 to 507 of the family's 1533-position model. The record is from RNAcentral.
AUUGAACGCUGGCGGCAUGCCUUACACAUGCAAGUCGAACGGCAGCACGGGUGCUUGCACCUGGUGGCGAGUGGCGAACGGGUGAGUAAUACAUCGGAACAUGUCCUGUAGUGGGGGAUAGCCCGGCGAAAGCCGGAUUAAUACCGCAUACGAUCUACGGAUGAAGGCGGGGGACCUUCGGGCCUCGCGCUAUAGGGUUGGCCGAUAGCUGAUUAGCUAGUUGGUGGGAUAAAGGCCUACCAAGGCGACGAUCAGUAGCUGGUCUGAGAGGACGACCAGCCACACUGGGACUGAGACACGGCCCAGACUCCUACGGGAGGCAGCAGUGGGGAAUUUUGGACAAUGGGCGAAAGCCUGAUCCAGCAAUGCCGCGUGUGUGAAGAAGGCCUUCGGGUUGUAAAGCACUUUUGUCCGGAAAGAAAUCCUUGGCUCUAAUACAGUCGGGGGAUGACGGUACCGGAAGAAUAAGCACCGGCUAACUACGUG